This 253-nucleotide ribosomal RNA is filed under the name uncultured bacterium. RNAcentral describes it as "partial 16S ribosomal RNA". It matches the Rfam family "Bacterial small subunit ribosomal RNA", at positions 524 to 776 of the family's 1533-position model. The record is from RNAcentral.
UACGUAGGGUGCGCGCGUUAAUCGGAAUUACUGGGCGUAAAGCGUGCGCAGGCGGUUGUGUAAGACAGGCGUGAAAUCCCCGGGCUCAACCUGGGAAUGGCGCUUGUGACUGCACAGCUGGAGUGCGGCAGAGGGGGAUGGAAUUCCGCGUGUAGCAGUGAAAUGCGUAGAUAUGCGGAGGAACACCGAUGGCGAAGGCAGUCCCCGGGGCCUGCAGUGACGCACAUGCACGAAAGCGUGGGGAGCAAACAGG